This 468-nucleotide ribosomal RNA is filed under the name uncultured bacterium. RNAcentral's name for it is "partial 16S ribosomal RNA". It matches the Rfam family "Bacterial small subunit ribosomal RNA", at positions 28 to 507 of the family's 1533-position model. The record is from RNAcentral.
GAUGAACGCUGGCGGCGUGCUUAACACAUGCAAGUCGAACGGAGAGGCCGGGGCUUGGUCUGCUGGACGAGUGGCGAACGGGUGAGUAACACGUGAGUAAUCUGCCCCUGACUCUGGGAUAAGCGCUGGAAACGGCGGCUAAUACCGGAUACGAGCUGCGGAGGCAUCUUGGGCAGUUGAAAAGUACGGCGGUCAGGGAUGGGCUCGCGGCCUAUCAGCUUGUUGGUGAGGUAAUGGCUCACCAAGGCUUCGACUGGUAGCCGGCCUGAGAGGGUGACCGGCCACACUGGGACUGAGACACGGCCCAGACUCCUACGGGAGGCAGCAGUGGGGAAUAUUGCACAAUGGGCGGAAGCCUGAUGCAGCAACGCCGCGUGCGGGACGACGGCCUUCGGGUUGUAAACCUCUUUUGCCAGGGAAGAAGCGAGAGUGACGGUACCUGCUGAAAAAGCGCCGGCUAACUACGUG